This 443-nucleotide ribosomal RNA is filed under the name uncultured bacterium. Its description in RNAcentral is "partial 16S ribosomal RNA". It matches the Rfam family "Bacterial small subunit ribosomal RNA", at positions 28 to 507 of the family's 1533-position model. The record is from RNAcentral.
GAUGAACGCUGGCGGCAUGCCUAACACAUGCAAGUCGAUCGGUAAGGCUCUUCGGAGUACACGAGAGGCGGACGGCUGAGUAACGCGUAGGAACACACCCUGCAGUGAGGGAUAAGACACCGAAAGGUGUUCUAAUACCGCAUACGGUCUUCGGAUUAAAGCAUUUAUGCGCUGAAGGAGUGGCCUGCGUCAUAUUAGAUAGUUGGUGAGGCAAUGGCUCACCAAGUCGAUGAUGUGUAGCUGGUCUGAGAGGAUGAUCAGCCAGACUGGAACUGAGACACGGUCCAGACUCCUACGGGAGGCAGCAGUGAGGAAUAUUUCACAAUGAGCGAAAGCUUGAUGGAGCAAUGCCGCGUGCAGGAUGAAGGCCCUCGGGUUGUAAACUGCUUUUAUAAGAGAAGAUUAUGACGGUAACUUAUGAAUAAGGGACGGCUAACUACGUG